This 404-nucleotide ribosomal RNA is filed under the name Brucella melitensis. RNAcentral describes it as "partial 16S ribosomal RNA". It matches the Rfam family "Bacterial small subunit ribosomal RNA", at positions 355 to 776 of the family's 1533-position model. The record is from RNAcentral. Lineage: Bacteria; Pseudomonadati; Pseudomonadota; Alphaproteobacteria; Hyphomicrobiales; Brucellaceae. RNAcentral also lists the same sequence under 2 other names.
UGGGGAAUAUUGGACAAUGGGCGCAAGCCUGAUCCAGCCAUGCCGCGUGAGUGAUGAAGGCCCUAGGGUUGUAAAGCUCUUUCACCGGUGAAGAUAAUGACGGUAACCGGAGAAGAAGCCCCGGCUAACUUCGUGCCGGCAGCCGCGGUAAUACGAAGGGGGCUAGCGUUGUUCGGAUUUACUGGGCGUAAAGCGCACGUAGGCGGACUUUUAAGUCAGGGGUGAAAUCCCGGGGCUCAACCCCGGAACUGCCUUUGAUACUGGAAGUCUUGAGUAUGGUAGAGGUGAGUGGAAUUCCGAGUGUAGAGGUGAAAUUCGUAGAUAUUCGGAGGAACACCAGUGGCGAAGGCGGCUCACUGGACCAUUACUGACGCUGAGGUGCGAAAGCGUGGGGAGCAAACAGG